This 433-nucleotide ribosomal RNA is filed under the name uncultured bacterium. Its description in RNAcentral is "partial 16S ribosomal RNA". It matches the Rfam family "Bacterial small subunit ribosomal RNA", at positions 29 to 507 of the family's 1533-position model. The record is from RNAcentral.
AACGAACGCUGGCGGCAUGCCUAACACAUGCAAGUCGAACGAGACCUUCGGGUCUAGUGGCACACGGGUGCGUAACGCGUGGGAACCUGCCCUUAGGUUCGGAAUAACUCCCCGAAAGGGGUGCUAAUACCGGAUAAUGUCUUCGGACCAAAGAUUUAUCGCCUUUGGAUGGGCCCGCGUUGGAUUAGCUAGUUGGUAGGGUAAAAGCCUACCAAGGCGACGAUCCAUAGCUGGUCUGAGAGGAUGAUCAGCCACACUGGGACUGAGACACGGCCCAGACUCCUACGGGAGGCAGCAGUGGGGAAUAUUGGACAAUGGGCGAAAGCCUGAUCCAGCAAUGCCGCGUGAGUGAUGAAGGCCUUAGGGUUGUAAAGCUCUUUUACCCGGGAUGAUAAUGACAGUACCUGGAGAAUAAGCUCCGGCUAACUCCGUG